RNAcentral lists this ribosomal RNA (219 nucleotides) under uncultured bacterium. Its description in RNAcentral is "partial 16S ribosomal RNA". It matches the Rfam family "Bacterial small subunit ribosomal RNA", at positions 524 to 741 of the family's 1533-position model. The record is from RNAcentral.
UACGUAGGUGGCAAGCGUUUGUCCGGAAUUAUUGGGCGUAAAGCGCGCGCAGGCGGCCUCUUAAGUCUGAUGUGAAAGCCCCCGGCUCAACCGGGGAGGGCCAUUGGAAACUGGGAGGCUUGAGUAUAGGAGAGAAGAGUGGAAUUCCACGUGUAGCGGUGAAAUGCGUAGAGAUGUGGAGGAACACCAGUGGCGAAGGCGACUCUUUGGCCUAUAACU